RNAcentral lists this ribosomal RNA (2613 nucleotides) under Escherichia coli. RNAcentral describes it as "partial 23S ribosomal RNA". It matches the Rfam family "Bacterial large subunit ribosomal RNA". Lineage: Bacteria; Pseudomonadati; Pseudomonadota; Gammaproteobacteria; Enterobacterales; Enterobacteriaceae. The record is from RNAcentral.
GUUAAGCGACUAAGCGUACACGGUGGAUGCCCUGGCAGUCAGAGGCGAUGAAGGACGUGCUAAUCUGCGAUAAGCGUCGGUAAGGUGAUAUGAACCGUUAUAACCGGCGAUUUCCGAAUGGGGAAACCCAGUGUGAUUCGUCACACUAUCAUUAACUGAAUCCAUAGGUUAAUGAGGCGAACCGGGGGAACUGAAACAUCUAAGUACCCCGAGGAAAAGAAAUCAACCGAGAUUCCCCCAGUAGCGGCGAGCGAACGGGGAGCAGCCCAGAGCCUGAAUCAGUGUGUGUGUUAGUGGAAGCGUCUGGAAAGGCGCGCGAUACAGGGUGACAGCCCCGUACACAAAAAUGCACAUACUGUGAGCUCGAUGAGUAGGGCGGGACACGUGGUAUCCUGUCUGAAUAUGGGGGGACCAUCCUCCAAGGCUAAAUACUCCUGACUGACCGAUAGUGAACCAGUACCGUGAGGGAAAGGCGAAAAGAACCCCGGCGAGGGGAGUGAAAAAGAACCUGAAACCGUGUACGUACAAGCAGUGGGAGCACGCUUAGGCGUGUGACUGCGUACCUUUUGUAUAAUGGGUCAGCGACUUAUAUUCUGUAGCAAGGUUAACCGAAUAGGGGAGCCGAAGGGAAACCGAGUCUUAACUGGGCGUUAAGUUGCAGGGUAUAGACCCGAAACCCGGUGAUCUAGCCAUGGGCAGGUUGAAGGUUGGGUAACACUAACUGGAGGACCGAACCGACUAAUGUUGAAAAAUUAGCGGAUGACUUGUGGCUGGGGGUGAAAGGCCAAUCAAACCGGGAGAUAGCUGGUUCUCCCCGAAAGCUAUUUAGGUAGCGCCUCGUGAAUUCAUCUCCGGGGGUAGAGCACUGUUUCGGCAAGGGGGUCAUCCCGACUUACCAACCCGAUGCAAACUGCGAAUACCGGAGAAUGUUAUCACGGGAGACACACGGCGGGUGCUAACGUCCGUCGUGAAGAGGGAAACAACCCAGACCGCCAGCUAAGGUCCCAAAGUCAUGGUUAAGUGGGAAACGAUGUGGGAAGGCCCAGACAGCCAGGAUGUUGGCUUAGAAGCAGCCAUCAUUUAAAGAAAGCGUAAUAGCUCACUGGUCGAGUCGGCCUGCGCGGAAGAUGUAACGGGGCUAAACCAUGCACCGAAGCUGCGGCAGCGACGCUGAUGCGUUGUUGGGUAGGGGAGCGUUCUGUAAGCCUGUGAAGGUGUGCUGUGAGGCAUGCUGGAGGUAUCAGAAGUGCGAAUGCUGACAUAAGUAACGAUAAAGCGGGUGAAAAGCCCGCUCGCCGGAAGACCAAGGGUUCCUGUCCAACGUUAAUCGGGGCAGGGUGAGUCGACCCCUAAGGCGAGGCCGAAAGGCGUAGUCGAUGGGAAACAGGUUAAUAUUCCUGUACUUGGUGUUACUGCGAAGGGGGGACGGAGAAGGCUAUGUUGGCCGGGCGACGGUUGUCCCGGUUUAAGCGUGUAGGCUGGUUUUCCAGGCAAAUCCGGAAAAUCAAGGCUGAGGCGUGAUGACGAGGCACUACGGUGCUGAAGCAACAAAUGCCCUGCUUCCAGGAAAAGCCUCUAAGCAUCAGGUAACAUCAAAUCGUACCCCAAACCGACACAGGUGGUCAGGUAGAGAAUACCAAGGCGCUUGAGAGAACUCGGGUGAAGGAACUAGGCAAAAUGGUGCCGUAACUUCGGGAGAAGGCACGCUGAUAUGUAGGUGAAGCGACUUGCUCGUGGAGCUGAAAUCAGUCGAAGAUACCAGCUGGCUGCAACUGUUUAUUAAAAACACAGCACUGUGCAAACACGAAAGUGGACGUAUACGGUGUGACGCCUGCCCGGUGCCGGAAGGUUAAUUGAUGGGGUCAGCGCAAGCGAAGCUCUUGAUCGAAGCCCCGGUAAACGGCGGCCGUAACUAUAACGGUCCUAAGGUAGCGAAAUUCCUUGUCGGGUAAGUUCCGACCUGCACGAAUGGCGUAAUGAUGGCCAGGCUGUCUCCACCCGAGACUCAGUGAAAUUGAACUCGCUGUGAAGAUGCAGUGUACCCGCGGCAAGACGGAAAGACCCCGUGAACCUUUACUAUAGCUUGACACUGAACAUUGAGCCUUGAUGUGUAGGAUAGGUGGGAGGCUUUGAAGUGUGGACGCCAGUCUGCAUGGAGCCGGCCUUGAAAUACCACCCUUUAAUGUUUGAUGUUCUAACGUUGACCCGUGAUCCGGGUUGCGGACAGUGUCUGGUGGGUAGUUUGACUGGGGCGGUCUCCUCCUAAAGAGUAACGGAGGAGCACGAAGGUUGGCUAAUCCUGGUCGGACAUCAGGAGGUUAGUGCAAUGGCAUAAGCCAGCUUGACUGCGAGCGUGACGGCGCGAGCAGGUGCGAAAGCAGGUCAUAGUGAUCCGGUGGUUCUGAAUGGAAGGGCCAUCGCUCAACGGAUAAAAGGUACUCCGGGGAUAACAGGCUGAUACCGCCCAAGAGUUCAUAUCGACGGCGGUGUUUGGCACCUCGAUGUCGGCUCAUCACAUCCUGGGGCUGAAGUAGGUCCCAAGGGUAUGGCUGUUCGCCAUUUAAAGUGGUACGCGAGCUGGGUUUAGAACGUCGUGAGACAGUUCGGUCCCUA